Molecule: ribosomal RNA, 379 nt
Filed under: uncultured bacterium
Lineage: Bacteria
Description: bacterial SSU rRNA
Rfam family: Bacterial small subunit ribosomal RNA
Source: RNAcentral
UGACACGUAGGCACCAAGCGUUGUCCGGAUUUAUUGGGCGUAAAGAGCUCGUAGGCGGUUCGGUAAGUCGGGUGUGAAAUCUCUGGGCUCAACCCAGAGGGGCCACCCGAUACUGCUGUGACUAGAGUGUGGUAGGGGAGUGGGGAAUUCCUGGUGUAGCGGUGAAAUGCGCAGAUAUCAGGAGGAACACCAGUGGCGAAGGCGCCACUCUGGGCCAUAACUGACGCUGAGGAGCGAAAGCGUGGGUAGCAAACAGGAUUAGAUACCCUGGUAGUCCACGCCGUAAACGUUGGGCACUAGGUGUGGGUUUCAACCAACGAGAUCCGCGCCGUCGCUAACGCAUUAAGUGCCCCGCCUGGGGAGUACGGCCGCAAGGCUA